AGAGCCAAAUACAGUUUUUAAAAAUCUUAAACUCCUAUGUCUUCUGUAAUACCAUUUUUUAAAAUCUUAAAAUUAACUCCAAGAAGCCACCACUGUUCAAAAUAGAAUUGCACUUAGGGUAAAAAAGUUGAAUAAAACUUUUUGAAGACAUUCUAACAAAAUAUUUUGCUGAUGCAACUGUUGCUUAUAUUAUCAUCUUCUUCAAGUGAUUCUCAUUAUUGUCACUGACAAAAAUCUUAAGAUUACUGGCAGCCUUAAGAUUUUAGUAUAUUUAUUUCACUUCUAAGGUCUAUUCUUAUAAUGAGGUUCUUUUAUUUAAAUAAUCCCAGUGAUGUGGGUAUGUAUCUGGAUUAAAAAUCACCAACUUUUUUGUGUUUUUACUAUCUUGCUAUCUAACUUUGACUGUUUUAUAUUUAUCACACAAAUUAUAUCACCAACUUCAUACAUCACAAUCUAGUGCCAAAGGUUUGCAGCAUUUUAAAGAGGACAGAGCAUUGGACUUAGUACAUACUCGAAGGGAUGGUAAAGAGACUGAUCUGUGUUAUCAUGAAAACAUAUGUGAAAGUCAAACGCUGAAGGACUGAGACAUAAGAACACAAGACACUUCAUCAAUGUUAAUUAUUGCUUUUCAUUCAUAAUAGUUGCCAGGACUUGACUGGUAACAGACAAAAGUGAUAUCCUGGAUAUCCAGGAUAGAGACUCAAGAAACCUACUUGGCUGCUCAGAGUAUUAAAACAAAAUAUUUCUUUUUGUUCUCAGAUGUUCUGGGAAAUGAACCAGUACUAUUCAUCAUAUGACAUUUUUAGAGGCUGCUACCUGCUUCCCCACCCAUUAGAAGAAAGCUUUUA
Molecule: long non-coding RNA, 848 nt
Organism: Phyllostomus discolor (pale spear-nosed bat)
Lineage: Eukaryota; Metazoa; Chordata; Mammalia; Chiroptera; Phyllostomidae
Exons: 2
Source: RefSeq, a predicted model, not a curated record